UAAGGAAUAUUGGUCAAUGGACGCAAGUCUGAACCAGCCAUGCCGCGUGAAGGAUGAAGGUCCUCUGGAUUGUAAACUUCUUUUAUCUGGGACGAAAACGGGAUUUUUAUCUCAAUUGACGGUACCAGAGGAAUAAGCACCGGCUAACUCCGUGCCAGCAGCCGCGGUAAUACGGAGGGUGCGAGCGUUAUCCGGAUUUACUGGUUUAAAGGGUGCGUAGGUGGGCUUAUAAGUCAGUGGUGAAAUCUCCGAGCUUAACUUGGAAACUGCCGUUGAUACUAUAGGUCUUGAAUUAUCUGGAGGUAAGCGGAAUAUGUCAUGUAGCGGUGAAAUGCUUAGAUAUGACAUAGAACACCAAUUGCGAAGGCAGCUUACUACAUAUAAAUUGACGCUGAGGCACGAAAGCGUGGGGAUCAAACA
This 420-nucleotide ribosomal RNA is filed under the name uncultured bacterium. RNAcentral's name for it is "bacterial SSU rRNA". It matches the Rfam family "Bacterial small subunit ribosomal RNA", at positions 355 to 774 of the family's 1533-position model. The record is from RNAcentral.